Molecule: long non-coding RNA, 7759 nt
Organism: Cuculus canorus (common cuckoo)
Lineage: Eukaryota; Metazoa; Chordata; Aves; Cuculiformes; Cuculidae
Exons: 5
Source: RefSeq, a predicted model, not a curated record
UGCUCGGACAUGGACAGCUGCAUUUGCUAAUGUUGGCCAUCAAAUGUUAACUAGGUCAUAAAAAUGUCUGUGGGUUGGCUAUAAUGAAUCUCCCAAUGAGAUGCUAUUUCAGUCCCCUCUCCCAUGACGAUGUUUGCGAGAAGGAUGGCUUCAGAAAGGCUGCAUUUGUGAAAAUGUUUUAGGGUUUCUAGAGCAAAGCAAAGGUGUGAAGCCGGUCAGGCUCUCCUCAGAGGAUUAAGGAAAAUUGUAUCACUUAGGGGCAGAUGAAGACAUUGUGCCUCCAUCUCAAGAGGGAGAUCUCUCUCUGUACAGCCCAAGAGGGGUUUGGAGGGGACGUGGCUGAAAGGGUCAGAAAAGCCAGUGCCAUGCUACAACCUCUUAAGGGAAAAGACUGAAACCAUAUUCAAGUCUGUACUAUUUGUCAGGUGAUUCUUAUUUUUGUGUCAAAGAAUAGGACAGAAAUAAAAGGAGGGAUGCAUUUAUUUUAAAAUCCAAGGGACAAUAUGUUGAAUUUUACAUUUCUAUAGCAACAUACACAUUAGUAAUAUGUGCACAAGGAGCUGAAAAACAAUUAUAGCAAUCUAAUGUUUGAGAUCAAAAGUAAGGCAAAGCAUGUAAUUUGUUCAUUGUUCACUUAUCAGACUCAACAUGAAUAUUUUUGUGUCUGAGACUUAGACUCAGGGGAGUUGCAUCAUGCAAUCACAGGGCUUUGAAAAGAGCCUUUUGCAUUAAAAAAUAAACAAUAACAGCAGCAGCACUCUACUGACAGAUCACAGCUGAACCACAGCAGUUUUAUUUCCAGCAACAGAAGUUGGUUAAGAGAAUUAGUGGCUGAGCCAUCAAACUGUGUAUGAUAAUGAGACGGGUUAUGAAUAAUAUCAUUAAUUCGCAUGUCCUUCUAACACAUGCCACUCCAGUUAAUGUACAAAUCCCAAAUCUCUCAAUGCAAAAUACACUGACCUCCUCAUAAAAAUAUCUAAUGGUAUGAAGUCUGGUUCACGUGUAUCUGCUGGCUAGUGCUCCAGAUCAGAAAUAAUUACAAGGAAGCAUUUCUGCUCUUGAGUUAAGAGGCAGAAGUAUUUCUGUCAUAAGAAAGUAAGACUUUCCUCAUGUUUCGUGUUGCCUUUGCCAAGAGUUAAGGUGUGUUAUGGGGCAGAGCAUCCCCCUGUGCCCUGCAAGGAGAGGCUGCCCUGGCACCGGAGCUGAGGCACUCCAACAUCCUCCAAAAGCUCUGUCUGUCUCACAGCACUCCUUGACAUAUUGCUGCCAGGCUCUUAAAGCUAAAUCUACUUUCUUGAUCCCUCUGCUUACUCCACUAGAGGCAACUUUUCUGCCAGGGAAGGGUCACUCCUCAUGGCAGCUGGCAUUUGUCUCUGUCAAAGCCUCAGCUGGGUUCCCAGGGCAGCUGAACAGAGGGAUUUCCUGCAGGCUGACCCCCACCCCUUGUAGGCAACCCCAUGUUUGUCACUUGUUGGAAGAAACACUCGUUAUGAGGAGAAGAGGUGAUGUGCUCGCUGUACUCGGGGCUAUACAGAAGGGCUUCAGCAUCUCAGUGUGCAUCAUUGCUAGUGAACAGCCUUAUAUCAAAAGGAAUGGCAGAAGCAACUGUUUUAUUUUUUUUCUUUUUUCACCAUUUUUCUAAUAGGCUUCUGGAGAAGUGACUGUACUUCUGGAAAUCACCUGGAGAGAGCAGUUACCUUCAACAUGGUCCAGCAUUUCCAGCAAAAGGCAUCCUGGCUCACCAGGGCGUGGCAGGAUGUCGGUGCUGUGGACCUGUACGGCCGGUGUAGCAACUGAAGGAAACCGCUAUCGCAACCCCCAGACUUGUGUUUUGUUCUUCGUCAGCAUCACAUGCAGCUUGAGUAAUAUUUCUCCCGUUUCCAUAUUAAUGGAGAGAACAUGCUGGGUGUUUUCAACAGACAGGCAAACUACCUCUCUGCAAUAUUAUGGCUUUUGUCCAUGAUGGUUUCCAUGGUGUUCAUGUCCUCUUUCCCAGUCUCAGAGUUCGCACAAUUUCAUUAUCACCAAAUACAGUACUUAAAUUGCCCGUAUUAGUAACAAAUUAAACCCAGUGCUUAUAUUUUUUUCUGAAUAAUCUAACAAGGAUGCUUCUGCUUUGGGGAGGGGACUUUAGCUAUAAAAGCAAUAUUUAUAAUGUACCUAUAUAAACUGUAAUCAACAGGAGUGCCUUGCCAGGAGAGUAAAGGUCUUCUCUGCCCUGCACAGCUGGAGUCCAACUUCAUGAUAGGAAAGGAGACACUGGUUUAAGUGCAGGAAGCAUUGAGUCAGUGGUCAUUUCAUCAAGGGAUUUGGGUCAUCUUUAGUUAAACCUCUCCUUUCCUACUCCUGACCCAUCCACCAGCUGAUCUGAUCCCACUGCAGCUGCACUGGGCGUAGUGCAGCAGACAGGGUGGGAUGACCUGUGGUGUGGGGAUGGUGCGUCUCCACUGACCACCUAUGUCACAGACGUACCGCACAGUUUUGGUUGGUUGGUUUGCGUUGCUUUGUGUUUGUUUGUUUGUUUUUAUCAAUGACCUUGCUGAUUUUUAAUGUGAAAUAUUCACAAGAUUUAGAGCUAAGGUGGAGCUCUGGAUUUGUGCUGUGUGUCCCUCUUGUGUGCCAGCUGUACUGUUGGAUUCAGAUGUGGUUUGGAAAACCCCUUUCAGAAUGGACUCAAAUUAGCCUGGCUAUUGUUUGAAAGAGCUAUUUAAAAUGCAUGCAUAUGGAUGGGAGCGAUAGUAUGAUCAACAGUAAGACAGUAAGUGGGAUGAGCGUGUGGCCUCCAGCUCAUUUAUGUUUGGGGGAUUCCAUUCCUCAAGGGAUCUUCCUGGAGGUUAAGCCAUGAAACCAGAACAACCUGAAAGAUUUGCAAGGAUUGAGAUUGCUGCUUUCUUUCCAAUGACGCACUGAACUCUGCAUCCCCCCUGACAGAGACCCCAGGCUGUUCCUGUACUGCCCAGCAUGGCCAGUCUUAAGCCCUCCUACACUAAGAGAUUAUAGCUUUAGAGAGUAGUUGUGGCAAAAUAUAAUCCUGCACUCACCAGGUCACUGAAUCACAUCAGCAUUUGCUUGAGCAGAGUUAGAAGGGUCAAACCUGUGUUGGAAAAUGUCCCUCUCUGGGGUUGGUAGGGGGUAAUACUGCUCGGAAGCUGCUUGCCCAGCCCAAAUGCCCUGAAAUCAUCAUACUGAAUUACAAAUCAUGAGAUUUAGAAAGGAAUAUGGCUGGUGUUUCGGUUUGGUUCUUUAUUUUUUUUCCUUCUAGGGUUUGAGUUUUCAGAGUGCACAUAUUCAGGCUUUAUUCUGAGCUUUCCUGGGAAGCAAAGAAGGCGCUGCCAUCCCACUGUAAUCUCCUGUCUCUAGGAGCUGCAUCUCCACAGACACCAGGUAUCAGAAGAGCCAACAAAAUCCUGGGGAUUCAGAUCUGGCUUAUCUGGCUGUGGUGGGUAAUGUGUUUGCUGUAGUGACAGGGAACUGUCACUGAUGGUGUGCAAGAAAAUUCUGUGUGUUUGACAAUGCACGUAUUCAGAAAAAGGAAGCUAGAAAUCCGUGGCAGAAAUGUGGAGAAGAGGGGUCCAAAUGGCCUCUUUUGUCACCUCCUGGACUAAGGGAUACUUGGGGCAAACAGAGCAGAAAGGAAGCUGAACUGUGACUUCGGGUUGAAGAGCUAAAAUUCACCCCAAAAUGACUCCUCUGAAAUCAGCCCAAAGUUGCAAAGAGCCAAUGCCUAUGAAACUUUUGCAGUUACCUCAUUAUUUAAAAUUAUUCCCUUUUGAAUCUGUGCUAAAAUGAUCUGGUUUUGUAAUACAGUGCUCCUGGCUAGCGAGUGCUGGCUUGCUACAUCUGUACCGGUGUUUCUUCUUUGGUUUCUGCAAAGCCAAGUUGAAGAUGGGUCUGUGCAUCGGGCUGGGGACUAAUGCCAGAACAACUGAUUUAAUUCCUGGUCUGACCUCAGUAGUUCCUUCAUGGAUUAGGUAAGACAUUGGCCUUUUUGAUCUUUAUAACCUGGUCCUGAUGACAGUGGAUCCUGCCUUCAUGACAACUGCUGGCCUGCUGUCAUCCUCUGCUCUUGCUGCAAGAGCUGCCCGUCCUGGAAGGGGCAUAAAAUACGUAUAACUUUUUGUGGAAGAAAUUAAAAGUGGCUUUUUUAUAUUGGGAGAUGUUACACACCAACUGGCUUAUAAAUAUAACUUUAAUGCCUAAAAAAAUGGUGAUAAUCACUUUUAUACCUGCUUAAUGGCAUAAUUUUAAAGUGAAUUACUGACAUCAUAUAUUACUUUCUUCCCCUACAGUAAAUGGUCUCUCCCUGCUGUGUUUUAUUACUUAUUGUAAAUUCAUUCAAGCAGUAUAUUUUGCUUUCAGCAAGGUACCCUCAGUUACUUUUUCUGUCCAGGAUAAAUUGAGAUAAAUUUUGCCUGUGCCUGGAUUUUGCUCAUGGCAUCCAUCUUUGCCUGUGAAAAGUUACAGCUGGAGUCAAACAAGACUUGAGAAAUAGUAAUAUCAUACUGCAGAAAGUUACAGAUCACCAGUCUGCAGUCAAACUGUGUACAGAGGGCUCACUGAACCAGCCAGGAGUUUAAUAGGAAGUGAAAAACAUAAAGAAAUGUGAUGCAUUCGCUAAUGUUUAUCCUGAUAAAGUAAUAAGUACUUUACAAGAAAAUAACACUGGUUAUUUACCAUGCCAUCAUAAGAUUCUACAGUAGCAUAUCACCCCAAGCACCGCUGUUCAUCACUAUUUACUAUUUUUGCCCUUGGACAUCUAAUAGAUUUAUUGCCUGAGCUAUAGAAAUGUGAUUUGGGGGGGAGGGAAGAUGGAGACAGGGAGACUUCAAAUAACAGAGUCCUCCUUCCCUUUGCUGACAAUUCUAUGCUCCAAAGACUUAGUAAAUCUCAUAGCUGCGAUCACUGUGCUGUCAAAUCAAAUAAAAGCCAUAAGGCUGGUGCCAAUCUGCUUCCUGCAGGAAUUGUGCAGCCCCUGUGAAAACCAUUUGAUUGAAGACUGGUUUCAUAGCCGUGGGAGUAAAAGGUGACCCCAGGGUAGGUCAAGCUUUGUGGUGGCUUCGGGGAGAUGUGCCCAUGGCAAUGAAAUCUCCACAUUUGCAUGCUUUUUAGGUCCUACUAGGUCUCCCUAGAUGCAACAAUUGUAUGAGUCCGUCUAGCCCUUGGUUCAAAACUUAUCCUUGGGGGUACUUCUGGGCAUUGCUGGAAAUCCCAUUCAAACCUGACCGUGUCCCAAAACAGGCUGCGUGCUAGAGCCUGUUGUAUUUCCAGUUCCCUCUGUGAGGGGUCACAAUAGGUAUCGCUCUGCAAAUUUCCCUUAUUUUGUUGCAGAACUGACGGAAGGACAGGUCUGUAUGUUAGAGGGGACCAGAGCACGUGUGGAAGGAGAUUCCUGAGCUCUGAUGGGCUGUCUGUUGGCUAACAACCGUAAAACCUCUGAAGUUUAUUCUGUCCACAUACGCUGAUGAGAAGAGAGAAGUGCUUCCUCUGGAGGUUUUAGCAUUCUGGAGGUCAGCGACACAGUCAGAUCAGUUUCCACACCACCUGCCUUCAGGAGCCCCUCACCAUGAGAAGGCAGUGAGGGCUGCAGAGUGAGCCCAGAGACACCUGUGAUGGCCUGGAUGCAGCCCUGCCUGUGACCCUUGACAGCCUGCAGUUAUCCAGUGUGCAUCUAGUGCUGCUGAUAAAAAAUGAUGGCGUUUAACAGUGGCAGCAAAAGGAGCUACUGAGAAUAAGGCAUGUUCACAGCAGAAGUGAAUUUUCUUUGAAUUACAAGAGAAGUUCCUUUUCUGCAGCAUUAAGCCUCUCACCAGCAGCUCAAAAUGCGGACCACUGGUGAUGUUUUUCUGUGCAGACAGAUAUAUUCCAGCAUUCAUCACUGCUGAUGAAUCUUUUCACAAUGAUCUUGUUCCCUGCGGAGUCAGCGAGCCCCACGCACUGCCAGUGCUAUGAGUGUCCGACAGGAAAAUCUGAUUUGCAUUUCCACCAUUAAGCUUCUAUAUCCAGCUCUGAAAAUUAUGCUGGGUGACAUUAGGCAGCCAGGCUCCAUGAAACAGCGUAGACAAGACUGUCAUAUCACUGCCUUGGCAGAAUUAUCUGCUCUGACACCAAGGAAACCGCUGUAAGGGUAAAACAAGCCCUGACCAAGCCAGGGACAUGCAUGAGUGUGAAACACCAGUGCUGUCAACACAAGACCUGGGGACAUCUGAGUGUACCCCAUAUGAGACACCACUGCCCGGGGACUUGGAGAGCACCAUGCUUCUCCAAGCAAAGUCAAAGCUCCAUCAUGCAAUCUUUGUGCACGAACUGCAACUGCAUGCAGCAAACCCCCCAAACCCUGGUGAUGUGGUCUCCCUUGCGGAAGGUAUCUUGGGUGCUGGUAGCAACCAUGCCUGUGUUGGGCUGUGGUGCAGACACCAGGGAGGCUGCAAAGGGCCUUGGCAGUAGAUCCAGCUCGGUCAACCUUAUGUGCUCUUAGCAAAAAACCACAUGCAUCUUUAACAGCUCUAUGUCCAACUUUUCUUACAACAAAGUGAGGUCUUCUGGCUGCCAUUAUCAGAGGUAUUUUCUGUACAGCUCAGUAUUGAACUUUUAAGAAAGUAACCAAAACCCAUUAAUCACUAGCAUAUUUCUUACUACUGUAUUGGCCAAGGAUUACUUCAAUACUUAUUUUAAUGGAUAGCUCAGCUAUGAACGAUUUUAAGGUUAGAGGUCUUGCAAGACUCUUCUUAUAAGCUUUCUGAAAUCUAAUCCAUCACUAAUUUCCAUAUGUCUUGUGCAGCACUAGGCUAAUGUAAUGCAUCACCACAUAAAUCCCUCUCUGAUAAAAUUAUCCUGGGUAUUACAAAAAUUCAAAGCAUUGUUCUUAACUACGUGUGCCUUUUUCAGAUGUCUCACUAGUUGAGAAGUAAGCCUAAUGUGUUCAAGAGGCUUUUUCCCUUAAUGAUAGAUGGAAAAGGAAGUUUAAGAUGACACCUAGCAGCUUAGAUUUUCCAUGUCAGCAAAUGUCACAGACAGAAGUGGCUUUUUUUUUUUUAAUGACAGCUCUUCACAGAGAAUAACUAACGUUCUAUUCUUCUGUCCCCAGACUGAAUUUUUAGCUCUAGUUCAAGUAUUUUUCAUCCAAUAAGCCAACCCGCUUACUCUAGCACCAUGUAAAACACUGAUGCGACUUCUUUGCACCUUCAUCAUUGAUUUCCCUGGAGAAUUUCAGUAUUCUCUUCUACCCAGGAUGUACAACCACCAGUAUAAGCAUCAACAGUACUCUGCUUCUGGUCAUUGCCUUGUUGGUUAUCCAGCUGUGACCUCUCACAGAGGAGAGGGGGAAUAGCGUUAUCCAACUAAUUCUGGUACACACAAAUGUACAUUUAGCUAAGAUUAGGCAGCUGUUUGUUUUCUCUGUCUUUGAGCCAUUAAGAAAUUUCCUGUAAAUGGUGGGAGAAGGGCAACACGAGAAGCCAGGCCAGGUGUGCCAGGGUUCAUGUUAUGGGGAAAGUCUGCAUCCAGAUGGAGAGUCUGAGAGAAGAAGGAGUAAAACCUAUUUUUUUUCAAGAAGUGUAAUGAAAGCAUGGAGACAUAAGCCUAGUAGUUCUUAACAGAGUCAAUGCAACAUCUGAAAGAGUAUAGAAGAGGAGAUAAACAAACUAGAAAAGAAGCUUUGUCAAUACAUUGGCAAAAAAAAUAUGGGGAAGGAAAAGGUCUCAUGUGAAGUCAUAUGCAAUGAUUGUGGCAAGAGAAAUCAUGAUAUCAAAGUCUGCAGACA